AGCCUGAUGCUCUAGUCAUUGCUUAAUUUAACCAUCAAGAGCUAAAGGUCUAUGGCAACCCAAUUUAGCAUAUCUCUAGCCGAGGGGCAAUCCACAAACCAACCUUCACUUUUCAGUGGGUCAAACUACACUUAUUGAAAAGCUUGAAUGAGAAUUUUUAUACAAGUACUUGACUAUGACAUGUGAAAUAUCAUAGUAAAUAGACCACACAUACCCACUAAAUUAAUUGAUGGUGUGUCUC
Molecule: long non-coding RNA, 241 nt
Filed under: Elaeis guineensis (African oil palm)
Lineage: Eukaryota; Viridiplantae; Streptophyta; Magnoliopsida; Arecales; Arecaceae
Description: long non-coding RNA (EGUI_LNC013997)
Source: RNAcentral